UCCGGUUUGUCACCGGCAGUCACCUUAGAGUGCCCAACUAAAUGCUGGCAACUAAGGUCAAGGGUUGCGCUCGUUGCGGGACUUAACCCAACAUCUCACGACACGAGCUGACGACAACCAUGCACCACCUGUCACCGCUGUCCCCGAAGGGAAAGGCCUGUCUCCAGACCGGUCAGCGGGAUGUCAAGACCUGGUAAGGUUCUUCGCGUUGCUUCGAAUUAAACCACAUGCUCCACCGCUUGUGCGGGCCCCCGUCAAUUCCUUUGAGUUUUUGCCUUGCGGCCGUAGUCCCCAGGCGGGGUGCUUAUUGCGUUAGCGACGGCACCGGAGGGGUCGAUACCCCCGACACCUAGCACCCAUCGUUUACAGCGUGGACUAC
Molecule: unclassified non-coding RNA, 379 nt
Filed under: uncultured Caryophanales bacterium
Lineage: Bacteria; Bacillati; Bacillota; Bacilli; Caryophanales
Description: uncultured Bacillales bacterium contains 16S-23S intergenic spacer region
Source: RNAcentral